Molecule: unclassified non-coding RNA, 300 nt
Filed under: Hevea brasiliensis (rubber tree)
Lineage: Eukaryota; Viridiplantae; Streptophyta; Magnoliopsida; Malpighiales; Euphorbiaceae
Source: RNAcentral
GGAUAAGGAAUUCCGCCCCCUGCAGCGAUUUGCGACGGCACUGCGCCUCGCCCUGCCCCAUCGCGACGAAGUCGAUAUUUACUGGGGCCUGCACUUCGCGCUGGCGAUGAUCCGGCAGACCGUGACCGACAGCGAGCGGUUGAAGAAGCUGUCAGGAGGAUUGUGCGACUUGAAUGAUGUCGACGACAUCAUCCGGCGGAUUGUAUCAACCGCGAAAGAUGCCCUGGUCGGCGGCGCCGANGGCGCCGAUGCCGCGACGCCUCUUGUUCGCGCGUCAGGCUUUCGAAAAUCCUGAUCGCG